Apteryx rowi (Okarito brown kiwi) is the source of this 1943-nucleotide long non-coding RNA. NCBI's taxonomy places the organism in Eukaryota, Metazoa, Chordata, Aves, Apterygiformes, Apterygidae. The record is from Ensembl.
GGGAGGAAUGCUGUUUCCUGACUGAUUCCUGGUGCCCCCUGCCCGGGCUGAUAAGUAAAUUGCAUCAGAGCUAAUGACGAGUUAAAAGAAAUGUACACUGAUUCCAGAUGCGGAAGUGGUGGCAGGCUCAAAGAGGAAGCACAGCACAAAGCCACGGGGUCCCUUCGUGGAGAUGGAGCCGCUCAGAGAGGAAGAAGGAAAAAAACUGUAAAAGCAUACAUCUCCCCAAACCCCUUCUGCCUAAUCCAACUGAAUUAGAGGAUUUUGAAGUGGAUUUAAAACUAAAUCUUGAUUAGGGAGAAUUUCUCUCCAAGAGCUGCUGCACGGUGGUAUUAAUGGGAAGCGACCGCGGACAGAGGAAAUAGGACAGAAAUAACCGAGGGUAGCGCACAGGCGUCUGUGCAUGAACGGAAAGAAUCGGCGGAUUGCUCGGGAGGAAGAGGAGGAAAACAGCCUUCGACGUAACCAGAAUCAGCAGAACAGCGGGCAACGCUCUGCGAGAAGGUUUCUCCUGUGCCAGCGGCAUCUCCCCGCCUUUAUGCUGGCGGAGGGUUUUUGCGGGUGAAAAGCAAGAGGUUUGCAAGGACGGGGAGGAAUCGCUGCGCGCAGAGCCGGGCUCUUCUGCCUGCUCCCCGCGGACCCGCUCCCGCGCUGCCCCGAAGCCGAGCGGGCUCCCGGAGCUGCUCCCAUGCUUGCGGGACGCGCGCCCGGAGGCGCCCAGGGCAUCCUCUCGCUGCUGACGGCGGUGUCCGUCCUCCCGGAGGUGUCCGGACUCCAGUGUUACGGCUGCAACAUCAUCGUUGGCACCAGAUACGUGGACAUGGGCUGCUCUAACCCAGAAGUGGUCACCUGCUCCCGCUCCCACCAGGGCUUCAAGCACCGGUUCUGCCUUAAAACAGAAAGCGCGGUCCUGGGCAUCCCGCUGACCAGCGGCUGCGCCACCUCCCGCCACUGCCAGCAGCAGGAGCUGCCGGGGCUGCGGAUCCACUGCUGCGACACGGACCUGUGCAACGGCUCGCGCGGGGCGCCCCGGCCUCCCCGCGGCCUCGCCGGCCGCUGCCUCCUGCUCGCGCCCCUCCUGGCCGCCCUCCUCCUCUUCUGAGCGGCCCCGGGGCCGGGGGGCUGGCGCGAGCGCGGCGCGGCUCCCCCGCGCCCGGAGAGCCUCCUCCUCGCCCCUCUCCUCGAUCAAAGACGCCGAACCUUUGCGCUGCACAGGCCCCGCUCCCAGCGGCGUCCCCGGGGGUAGGACACGCGUGUCCGUGGCGGCGCGGGGGGCUGCGCAGCUGCGCUGCCCGAUGCCACGUGCGGCCGCUCCAAAGCCACGUGCUGCGGCUUUGCUCUUCCGCAAUGGGGACCCGGCGCCGCUCGGCCCCUCCGGCUGCUCCCUCGCCAAACCCGAGAGGUGCCGAGCCCCCGCGGCCGGACCUGGGGUGCAGCGAGGGCCUGGCGGGUCCCCCAGCGGGUGCCACGGCGGGGACCCAGCUCCUCCGGCCGAGCGAGUCUCUUCCCACGAGAGGGCAUCCUUGGUCCUCGCUGCGCAGCUCCCUCCUGCCCGGCGAGGCGGCAGCAGCCCGCGAGCGGCCGGGACUCCCAGCCGCGGCCUUCGUCCUCCUCCUCAUCCCAGGCGGGCUCGAAGGAGCUGCUGCCGCUUCCCAGCGGCGAAGAGACCACGGUCCGGGCAGCGCUGAGCCCCGGGCGACCCGCGGGCGACGCACCGAGACCGCGGUGUCCUGGGGAGAGGGGAGCUUCCCGGGCUCUGCCCCGAUUUAAGGGCCCGAGCGGGAGCUUUAACGAAGCUCUAAUCACGUACGAAGCUGAUCCUAAGUGGCUUGCUCGAGGUCAUCGUGGGGGUUUGCGGGAGAGCUGGGAAUUAAAUGCAUAUGUCUCAAGAUCCAGCCAUGUGCUUUUAUCACCAGGGAAACAGCAUAAACCUCACUUGCGAG